Molecule: small RNA, 30 nt
Filed under: Bombyx mori (domestic silkworm)
Lineage: Eukaryota; Metazoa; Arthropoda; Insecta; Lepidoptera; Bombycidae
Description: ovarian small RNA-2245
Source: RNAcentral
UGCGCCGACAUCCGCCAAUAAUGGUGGAGG